This is an RNA transcript of Zingiber officinale, 1145 nucleotides long. RefSeq lists it as uncharacterized. The transcript has 6 exons. The record is from RefSeq and is a predicted model, not a curated record. NCBI's taxonomy places the organism in Eukaryota, Viridiplantae, Streptophyta, Magnoliopsida, Zingiberales, Zingiberaceae.
AGCCAACGGGUUUGUCAUGCGUGCUUCGCGUCUUUGCCUUCACCACCUCCCUGUCCUUUCUUAUCUAUCCGUCGUCGUCAUCUCCCACCGACCGAAUCCCACUCUCUUGCUCUCGCUGCAUAAUUUUAUCCUUGUCCAACAAGUAAGUGAUGAGGGCGUAUUUCCUCCGGGCGACGCAGGGAUGCAUCAAGGCUCCUCCUCGAUCGAUUCCUUCUUCAACGACGUGAAGGAAGGGGUAGAUGAGAUGAUCGUUUCCUUGGCCAACGACCCCACCGUUGGGCUCUUCUUCGUCCAGCAGCACGCCCAUGCCUCCAUGCCCUAUCUCCUCGGAGUCAAGGACAAGGUUAGGAAGAAAAUUCAUGAAGUAAGCUUACACACUGAAAACAUGGAAGAUUCUAUUUGUUCAGUGAGGUCAAUGGCAGAGUGUGGCACUCCAAUUGCUGAUGGGAUGAUCGAAGACAUUAAUAGAUCACUACAAUUGAUGUCGGCAUCCAAACUUAAGAGAGGUUUGACUCGCGACACAAGUUGGGGUUUUCGAGUAAGCAACCCAAACACCGGCAAUUCAUUCAGUCACAGAUAUCUGUCUUCUAUUUUCGACUCAGUGAAGCAGAAAGCAACUCGACUCGGAUGGCCCCAGUCAAGUACAGUGAAAGACUACAAGUGUGAUCGAUCCUCAUCCGAGGCCUCCUCGCAAGUAUCCAGAGAAGGUACCCAUACAGAUACAGAAGGUGAGGAAUUGCCUUUAUCGAGCCAACUUGUGGAAGGUCAGUUUGAGAAUAUUGAGACAUUGUGCAUUGACGCGUCUGUGUUGCAAGGCUACGGCGCGUUUAAAUCCGAGCAAGAGGCUAAAUUUAAGGAAUGGCUUCAAGAACCUGAGAGGCACGACUGAUCCAAUCAGUUCAGUGAUCAGUACUUUACUUUGUUGUAAACCUGGAGCUGCUGUAUGUCAUAUUAGAAGUCCUCGGAAUCAUAGUAUCGAGGUUGGAUAUUCAGAUUGUCAUACAGGCUGGAACCGAUUGUCGGGCUACUGGCGGAGCUGCACCGGGAAAUUAAUCGGCUGGCCGGAGUUGACUUCUCUCUGGCCGCUGCGUGCGCCACGCUCACGUAACGCUUCUUCACGUUGGCGCUCUGCUCGGUGACCAACC